GGGAGGCAGCAGUAGGGAAUAUUGGGCAAUGGACGCAAGUCUGACCCAGCCAUGCCGCGUGCAGGAUGAAGGCGUUAUGCGUUGUAAACUGCUUUUAUACAGGAAGAAACGACCCUUGCGAGAGGCAUUGACGGUACUGUAUGAAUAAGCACCGGCUAACUCCGUGCCAGCAGCCGCGGUAAUACGGAGGGUGCAAGCGUUGUCCGGAUUUAUUGGGUUUAAAGGGUGCGCAGGUGGUUUAUUAAGUCAGUGGUGAAAGACGGUCGCUCAACGAUUGCAGUGCCAUUGAAACUGGUAGACUUGAGUAAAGUAGAGGUGGGCGGAAUUGAUAGUGUAGCGGUGAAAUGCAUAGAUAUUAUCAAGAACUCCAAUUGCGUAGGCAGCUCACUUGGCUUUUACUGACACUCAUGCACGAAAGUGUGGGUAUCAAACAGGAUUAGAUACCCUGGUAGUCCACACUGUAAACGAUGAUAACUAGGUGUCGGCCGAAUCUGGUCGGUGCCACAGCGAAAGCGUUAAGUUAUCCACCUGGGGAGUACGCCGGCAACGGUGAAACUCAAAGGAAUUGACGG
This 572-nucleotide ribosomal RNA is filed under the name uncultured Bacteroidota bacterium. RNAcentral's name for it is "bacterial SSU rRNA". It matches the Rfam family "Bacterial small subunit ribosomal RNA", at positions 343 to 916 of the family's 1533-position model. The record is from RNAcentral. Lineage: Bacteria; Pseudomonadati; Bacteroidota.